Molecule: non-coding RNA, 75 nt
Organism: Meloidogyne enterolobii
Lineage: Eukaryota; Metazoa; Nematoda; Chromadorea; Rhabditida; Meloidogynidae
Source: the annotation of a GenBank genome assembly
GUUACUUUGGGUUAGUGGGAAAAUUUUUGGUUCUGUAACCAAAGGGGGUCAAAGGUUCGAAUCCUCUUAGUGGAA